Molecule: ribosomal RNA, 408 nt
Filed under: uncultured bacterium
Lineage: Bacteria
Description: partial 16S ribosomal RNA
Rfam family: Bacterial small subunit ribosomal RNA
Source: RNAcentral
AGUGAACGCUGGCGGCGUGCCUCAUACAUGCAAGUCGCACGGAGUGGCGCACGGGUGAGUAAGGUAUAGCUAAUCUGAACUACACUAGAGGACAACAGUUGGAAACGGCUGAUAAUACUCUAUAGUGUAGGAUGAGGCUAUAUGGUAUCAUCUAGUUGGUGAGGUAAUGGGUCAACAAGGCUAUGACGCAUAACUGGUCUGAGAGGAUGAUCAGUCACACUGGAACUGAGACACGGUCCAGACGCCUACGGGAGGCAGCAGUAGGUAAUAUUGCUCAAUGGGGGAAACCCUGAAGCAGCAACGCCGCGUGGAGGAUGACACUUUUCGGAGCGUAAACUCCUUUUGUUAGGGAAGCGGUAACUAACGAAUAAGCACCGGCUAACUCCGUGCCAGCAGCCGCGGUAAUAC